Bufo bufo (common toad) is the source of this 649-nucleotide long non-coding RNA. RefSeq lists it as uncharacterized. Lineage: Eukaryota; Metazoa; Chordata; Amphibia; Anura; Bufonidae. The transcript is spliced from 3 exons. The record is from RefSeq and is a predicted model, not a curated record.
CACAAAGAACGGACGGAUGAAGAGAUUCCCACAGACACCAGGACGGACCACCCCAGAAGGACCCCCAGAACAGGUCCGUCUCCAUACUGGGACCGAUCCGCCUUCCAACAUCCUGCACAGAGCAAUUCUCCACAGUGGUCCGAGCUUCACUUUCCUGAUACAGAGCUCCAAACCCCCUGCGUGAGCAGAAUUCAUGACACAAUUCUGCCACCAGUGUCCCCGAAAUAACAGCAAAUAGAGAGAAGUAGUGGCAGCCGAAGGGUUAACACGGGGCGCUUCGCCAGCGGGCCACUGUCUCCUGCUGCCUCACCUUUACUACACUUUCCUUUGGACCCAGCGAACCCGGAAUCAGCAGUUGGCGGGGGAGGGGCGCAGAGCAUUGCAUCGUUAACCCCUUUCCAGGAAAGUCCGUAGAUUACAUUCCAUGAAGUCAAGUUCAGCACAUUCCCUACAUGUGAAUGACAGGCAGAGGGCGCCGCCCGGUGGACGUCACUGGAACAGCAGCCACUGUGAAUCCUAUGGGAAUGUGAGGUCCUGAGGCGCGUCCACAGGAGAGGAGCCGGGAGCCCCCCAUACAGUGGUCGCCUCAGUACCUCGCAGCAGCACCGUCUGGGGCAGAACCGGUCAUACCCCGAAACACCGCAGGCGC